ACGAAGGGACCUAGCGUAGUUCGGAAUUAUUGGGCGUAAAGAGCUCGUAGGCGGUUUGUCACGUCUGCUGUGAAAAUCCAAGGCUCAACCUUGGACUUGCAGUGGGUACGGGCAGGCUAGAGUGCGGUAGGGGAGAUGGGAAUUCCUGGUGUAGCGGUGGAAUGCGCAGAUAUCAGGAGGAACACCAAUGGCGAAGGCACAUCUCUGGGCCGUAACUGACGCUGAGGAGCGAAAGCGUGGGGAGCGAACAGG
This 252-nucleotide ribosomal RNA is filed under the name uncultured bacterium. RNAcentral's name for it is "partial 16S ribosomal RNA". It matches the Rfam family "Bacterial small subunit ribosomal RNA", at positions 525 to 776 of the family's 1533-position model. The record is from RNAcentral.